RNAcentral lists this ribosomal RNA (468 nucleotides) under uncultured bacterium. RNAcentral's name for it is "partial 16S ribosomal RNA". It matches the Rfam family "Bacterial small subunit ribosomal RNA", at positions 28 to 507 of the family's 1533-position model. The record is from RNAcentral.
GACGAACGCUGGCGGGGUGCUUAACACAUGCAAGUCGAACGGAAAGGCCCUGCUUUUGUGGGGUGCUCGAGUGGCGAACGGGUGAGUAACACGUGAGUAACCUGCCCUUGACUUUGGGAUAACUUCAGGAAACUGGGGCUAAUACCGGAUAGGAGCUCCUGCUGCAUGGUGGGGGUUGGAAAGUUUCGGCGGUUGGGGAUGGACUCGCGGCUUAUCAGCUUGUUGGUGGGGUAGUGGCUUACCAAGGCUUUGACGGGUAGCCGGCCUGAGAGGGUGACCGGCCACAUUGGGACUGAGAUACGGCCCAGACUCCUACGGGAGGCAGCAGUGGGGAAUAUUGCACAAUGGGCGGAAGCCUGAUGCAGCAACGCCGCGUGCGGGAUGACGGCCUUCAGGGUGUAAACCGCUUUCGCCUGUGACGAAGCGUGAGUGACGGUAAUGGGUAAAGAAGCACCGGCUAACUACGUG